UACGGAGGGUGCGAGCGUUGUCCGGAAUCACUGGGCGUAAAGGGCGCGUAGGCGGCCUGAUAAGUAGGGGGUGAAAUCCUGAGGCUUAACCUCAGGGCUGCCUUCUAAACUGUCAGGCUCGAGCACAGUAGAGGCAGGUGGAAUUCCCGGUGUAGCGGUGGAAUGCGUAGAGAUCAGGAAGAACACCAGUGGCGAAGGCGCUCUGCUAGGCCGUAACUGACACUGAGGGACGAAAGCUAGGGGAGCGAAUGGG
This 253-nucleotide ribosomal RNA is filed under the name uncultured bacterium. RNAcentral describes it as "partial 16S ribosomal RNA". It matches the Rfam family "Bacterial small subunit ribosomal RNA", at positions 524 to 776 of the family's 1533-position model. The record is from RNAcentral.